UUUUUGCAAAUGGACUUUUUCCUUCAAUUUUCAGUUCAUCAUGAUAGAUCUUUGCUUGUUUCAUGAUCAGCAUACCAUUAAGUGGCAUGUGUUCACUGCAGCGCUGAUGGAUCCACU
Long non-coding RNA from Sapajus apella (tufted capuchin), 117 nucleotides. RefSeq lists it as uncharacterized. Lineage: Eukaryota; Metazoa; Chordata; Mammalia; Primates; Cebidae. The transcript is spliced from 3 exons. The record is from RefSeq and is a predicted model, not a curated record.